AGCAGCCGCGGUAAUUCCAGCUCCAAUAGCGUAUAUUAAAGUUGUUGCAGUUAAAAAGCUCGUAGUUGAAUUUCGGGAUUGACGUGACGGUCAUGCCUUAAGGGGUAUGAACUGUCACAGUUGAUUUCUCACCUUCUGGAGAAACUUGAUGUCCUUUAUUGGGUGCCUUGCGGAUCCAGGACCUUUACCUUGAAAAAUUAGAGUGUUUAAAGCAGGCAUUUUUGCUCGAAUACAUUAGCAUGGAAUAAUAGAAUAGGACGGCAUGGUUCUAUUUUGUUGGUUUCUAGGAUCACCGUAAUGAUUAAUAGGGAUAGUUGGGGGCAUUAGUAUUCAAUUGUCAGAGGUGAAAUUCUUGGAUUUAUUGAAGACUAACUACUGCGAAAGCAUUUGCCAAGGAUGUUUUCAUUAAUCAAGAACGAAAGUUAGGGGAUCGAAGACGAUCAGAUACC
RNAcentral lists this ribosomal RNA (449 nucleotides) under uncultured Glomeromycotina. Its description in RNAcentral is "SSU rRNA". It matches the Rfam family "Eukaryotic small subunit ribosomal RNA", at positions 569 to 1016 of the family's 1831-position model. The record is from RNAcentral. Lineage: Eukaryota; Fungi; Glomeromycota.